UACGGAGGGUGCAAGCGUUACUCGGAAUCACUGGGCGUAAAGGGCGCGUAGGCUUUUUAUUAAGUCUCGAGUGAAAGCCUACAGCUUAACUGUAGAACUGCUCGGGAAACUGAUAGAAUAGAGUAUGGAAGAGGUAGGUGGAAUUUCCAGUGUAGGGGUAAAAUCCGUAGAUAUUGGAAGGAAUACCAGAAGCGAAGGCGACCUACUGGGACAUUACUGACGCUGAGGCGCGAAAGCGUGGGGAGCAAACAGG
Molecule: ribosomal RNA, 253 nt
Filed under: uncultured bacterium
Lineage: Bacteria
Description: partial 16S ribosomal RNA
Rfam family: Bacterial small subunit ribosomal RNA
Source: RNAcentral